UCCACGCCGUAAACGAUGAUAACUCGUUGUUGGCGAUACACAGUCAGCGACUAAGGGAAACCGAUAAGUUAUCCACCUGGGGAGUACGAUCGCAAGGUUGAAACUCAAAGGAAUUGACGGGGGCCCGCACAAGCGGUGGAGCAUGUGGUUUAAUUCGAUGAUACGCGAAGAACCUUACCUAGCCUUGACAUUGAAGAAACACACUAGAGAUAGAGUGGUGCCCUUCGGGGAAU
This 233-nucleotide ribosomal RNA is filed under the name uncultured bacterium. Its description in RNAcentral is "partial 16S ribosomal RNA". It matches the Rfam family "Bacterial small subunit ribosomal RNA", at positions 794 to 1027 of the family's 1533-position model. The record is from RNAcentral.